GGCUCGGUAGCUUAGUUGGUAAAGCGCUCGUCUAGCAUACAAGAGUCUUGGAUUCGAAUCCCAGCCGAGCAC
Molecule: non-coding RNA, 72 nt
Organism: Aedes aegypti (yellow fever mosquito)
Lineage: Eukaryota; Metazoa; Arthropoda; Insecta; Diptera; Culicidae
Source: Rfam